Molecule: ribosomal RNA, 253 nt
Filed under: uncultured bacterium
Lineage: Bacteria
Description: partial 16S ribosomal RNA
Rfam family: Bacterial small subunit ribosomal RNA
Source: RNAcentral
UACGGAGGGUGCAAGCGUUAUCCGGAUUUACUGGGUUUAAAGGGUGCGUAGGUGGUCGGGUAAGUCUGAUGUGAAAUCUCCGAGCUCAACUCCGAAACUGCAUUCGAUACUGCGGUGCUUGAGGACUGGAGAGGAGACUGGAAUUCAUGGUGUAGCAGUGAAAUGCGUAGAGAUCAUGAGGAAGACCAGUGGCGAAGGCGGGUCUCUGGACAGUUCCUGACACUGAGGCACGAAGGCCAGGGGAGCAAACGGG